AUUGAACGCUGGCGGCAGGCCUAACACAUGCAAGUCGAACGAGUGGCGGACGGGUGAGUACUGUCUGGGAAACUGCCUGAUGGAGGGGGAUAACUACUGGAAACGGUAGCUAAUACCGCAUCCCAUCGGCUGUGCCCAGAUGGGAUUAGCUAGUAGGUGGUGUAAAGGCUCACCUAGGCGACGAUCCCUAGCUGGUCCGAGCGGAUGACCAGCAACACGGGAACUGAGACAAGGUCCAGAAUCCUACGCGAGGCAGCAGUGGGGAAUAGUGCACAAUGGGUGAAAGCCUGAUGCAGCAAUGCCGUGUGUAUGAAGAAGGCCUUCGGGUUGUAAAGUACUUUCAGAGGGGAGGCGUUACCCGCAGAAGAAGCAACGGCUAACUCCGUGCCAGCAGCCGCGGUAAUUC
RNAcentral lists this ribosomal RNA (406 nucleotides) under uncultured bacterium. RNAcentral describes it as "partial 16S ribosomal RNA". It matches the Rfam family "Bacterial small subunit ribosomal RNA", at positions 30 to 526 of the family's 1533-position model. The record is from RNAcentral.